GGUCAAAGAGGGGGACCUUCGGGCCUCUCGCGUCAGGAUAUGCCUAGGUGGGAUUAGCUAGUUGGUGAGGUAAUGGCUCACCAAGGCGACGAUCCCUAGCUGGUCUGAGAGGAUGAUCAGCCACACUGGAACUGAGACACGGUCCAGACUCCUACGGGAGGCAGCAGUGGGGAAUAUUGCACAAUGGGCGCAAGCCUGAUGCAGCCAUGCCGCGUGUGUGAAGAAGGCCUUCGGGUUGUAAAGCACUUUCAGUCGUGAGGAAGGUAGUGUAGUUAAUAGCUGCAUUAUUUGACGUUAGCGACAGAAGAAGCACCGGCUAACUCCGUGCCAGCAGCCGCGGUAAUACGGAGGGUGCGAGCGUUAAUCGGAAUUACUGGGCGUAAAGCGCAUGCAGGUGGUUUGUUAAGUCAGAUGUGAAAGCCCGGGGCUCAACCUCGGAAUAGCAUUUGAAACUGGCAGACUAGAGUACUGUAGAGGGGGGUAGAAUUUCAGGUGUAGCGGUGAAAUGCGUAGAGAUCUGAAGGAAUACCGGUGGCGAAGGCGGCCCCCUGGACAGAUACUGACACUCAGAUGCGAAAGCGUGGGGAGCAAACAGGAUUAGAUACCCUGGUAGUCCACGCCGUAAACGAUGUCUACUUGGAGGUUGUGGCCUUGAGCCGUGGCUUUCGGAGCUAACGCGUUAAGUAGACCGCCUGGGGAGUACGGUCGCAAGAUUAAAACUCAAAUGAAUUGACGGGGGCCCGCACAAGCGGUGGAGCAUGUGGUUUAAUUCGAUGCAACGCGAAGAACCUUACCUACUCUUGACAUCCAGAGAACUUUCCAGAGAUGGAUUGGUGCCUUCGGGAACUCUGAGACAGGUGCUGCAUGGCUGUCGUCAGCUCGUGUUGUGAAAUGUUGGGUUAAGUCCCGCAACGAGCGCAACCCUUAUCCUUGUUUGC
This 938-nucleotide ribosomal RNA is filed under the name Vibrio harveyi. RNAcentral describes it as "bacterial SSU rRNA". It matches the Rfam family "Bacterial small subunit ribosomal RNA", at positions 199 to 1118 of the family's 1533-position model. Lineage: Bacteria; Pseudomonadati; Pseudomonadota; Gammaproteobacteria; Vibrionales; Vibrionaceae. The record is from RNAcentral.